Molecule: long non-coding RNA, 212 nt
Filed under: Homo sapiens (human)
Lineage: Eukaryota; Metazoa; Chordata; Mammalia; Primates; Hominidae
Description: HSALNT0400394
Source: RNAcentral
CUCAAGGACUCUGUGUGUGUGUGUGUGUGUGUGUGUGUGUGUGUGUGUGUGUGUGUGUGUGUGUGUGAGUGACUGUGUGUGUGUGUGUGUCUCCCAUUCUCUCUUCUCUCUCUGUCUCUCACCCUCUGUGUGUUUCUUUCCCUCUCUCUGUCGGUCUGUGUGUGUGUGUUUGUGUGCGUAUGCCCGUGUGCGUGUGUGUCUUUGGACGAAUG